CAGUAGCCGCGGUAAUACGAAGGGUGCAAGCGUUAAUCGGAAUUACUGGGCGUAAAGCGUGCGUAGGCGGUGAGUUAAGUCUGCUGUGAAAUCCCCGGGCUCAACCUGGGAAUGGCAGUGGAUACUGGCUCGCUAGAGUGUGUCAGAGGAUGGUGGGAUUCCCGGUGUAGCGGUGAAAUGCGUAGAGAUCGGGAGGAACAUCAGUGGCGAAGGCGGCCAUCUGGGACAACACUGACGCUGAGGCACGAAAGCGUGGGGAGCAAACAGGAUUAGAUACCCCAGUAGUCCCUGUCUCUUAUAC
Molecule: ribosomal RNA, 301 nt
Filed under: uncultured bacterium
Lineage: Bacteria
Description: partial 16S ribosomal RNA
Rfam family: Bacterial small subunit ribosomal RNA
Source: RNAcentral